GACAGAGGAUGCAAGCGUUAUCCGGAAUGAUUGGGCGUAAAGCGUCUGUAGGUGGCUUUUUAAGUUCGCCGUCAAAUCCCAGGGCUCAACCCUGGACAGGCGGUGGAAACUACCAAGCUGGAGUACGGUAGGGGCAGAGGGAAUUUCCGGUGGAGCGGUGAAAUGCGUAGAGAUGACAUAGAACACCUAUUGCGAAGGCAGCUUACUACGCAGAUAUUGACGCUCAUGCACGAAAGCGUGGGGAUCAAACAGG
RNAcentral lists this ribosomal RNA (253 nucleotides) under uncultured bacterium. RNAcentral describes it as "partial 16S ribosomal RNA". It matches the Rfam family "Bacterial small subunit ribosomal RNA", at positions 524 to 776 of the family's 1533-position model. The record is from RNAcentral.